Molecule: long non-coding RNA, 432 nt
Filed under: Homo sapiens (human)
Lineage: Eukaryota; Metazoa; Chordata; Mammalia; Primates; Hominidae
Description: non-protein coding lnc-RAD23B-18:2
Source: RNAcentral
GGCUGGGGUAUCAAUGAGUACAUCUUGUCCUAGAUGGAGGUGUUCUGUAGCAGCCCAGGGGCAGAGAGCUGACUCACCAGACAACAGACACAGUAGCAGUGACCAGCACAUGACUGCUCUCAGAGAGGAGACGGUAUUGGACUAUGCUUCUAAAUUAUGUACCACACUGCUGCAUUGAUUCAGGCCUUUGUUUGAAGAAUGUAUUGAGAUAUUGAGGGAAGCUGGCAUAUGAAGUGGAGAAGGAGGCAGAACUGGCCCUACAUGUGCACACACGAACACUGCCUUCUACUGAGAUUGCAAGGUGCCAUGGAAGUAUCCUGGGUCUUUGUAUGCAGCCUAGAAAGGAGGUCUUCGGGAUAUAAUUCAAUUUCAUGAUGCAAUUAAGAAAGAAGUCUAAACCAAAGGACACUUACCGCACUGCAGCAACAUGUG